Molecule: long non-coding RNA, 321 nt
Filed under: Lonchura striata (white-rumped munia)
Lineage: Eukaryota; Metazoa; Chordata; Aves; Passeriformes; Estrildidae
Description: domestica (Bengalese finch) lncRNA (ENSLSDG00000004789.1)
Source: RNAcentral
CUCCUCUUCUUCGCACACUCUCUUCUUCCUCUCACCCUCUCCUCUUCAUCUUGCUCUCCUCCUCACUCUCUCCUCUUCCUCCUCUCUCCUCUUCCUCCUCUCUCCUCUUCCUCCUCUCUCUCACUCGCUCCUCUUCCUCCUCUCUCUCACUGUCUUCUUCAUCUCACUCUCUCCUCUUCUUCUUCUCAGACUCUCCUUCUUACUCCUCUUCUUCUCACACUAUCCUCUUCUUCAUAUCUCUCUCCUUUUCUUCUCACUCUCUUCUUUCUCCUCUCUCCUCUUCUUCUCCCUUUCUCCUCUUCCUUUUCUCUCCUCUUCUUC